AUAUGCUGUAUUGUUUAAUGUAAUGUAUAAUACAGCCUAAUUUAUAUUUAGUCAUUAUACGUAAAUGUAUUAUUUCAUAUCAAGUAGGCCAUUAUCGCUUGUUCUUCCGGAGUUUUUUCAUCCUCUUUUAUAAUUAUGGGAAGUCUGCCAUCUAGUGGUUGAAAGGUAGAAAGAUUGUUGAGUUGCUUCGUUAAUUAUGUCCGCUUUUAGAACUUUGAAUUCCUUCUGGUUUCAGUGUGAUUAUUUAGUGUGUACUACAUUGGGCAUUUAUAAGUAAAUUAAUAGUUGUAUUAAUUUGUUUUAUAGCUUGUGAUUCACUGAUGGUUUUCGAGUUGCAUUGUGGGACCUUGUGUCUACACCGUCAUCUUAUGGUGAUAGAGAUGCGGCGAUACGGCUGUGGAAAUGAGGGAGAAAGAGAGCCAUCUUCUGCCUUUAUUGCCGUGCCAUUCCGGCUUCUCCACACAUGGAAGUGAAGCUGUUCUUCCGUGGCCAUUUCUCUGACUCGGCAGAGCUGACCAUUGUCAUUUCCCAGCCUGCGUCCGAGGGGCCAUGAAAAGCCUGUGAGGUCCGGGUAAUAACCUUCAGAAAGGCUGUGAUUGCACUUCCAUUCUCCGCUGAGACCCGGGGCCAUAACCAUCAAGACAGGUGAGCGAAUGGCGAUGGAGACAGGGUUUGUUCCAAGAGGGCCGAUUAAAGAAUAUAGCCGAGGGGUUUAUGUGUACGUGUGAAUGUUUGUGAGGUCUUAGCUCUAUUUAGACCCCCGAAGCCAUUAGUGACAGUUUCUCCGGGCCUGG
This 794-nucleotide long non-coding RNA is filed under the name Danio rerio (zebrafish). RNAcentral describes it as "lncRNA (ENSDARG00000117584.1)". Lineage: Eukaryota; Metazoa; Chordata; Actinopteri; Cypriniformes; Danionidae. The record is from RNAcentral.